Molecule: long non-coding RNA, 996 nt
Organism: Zingiber officinale
Lineage: Eukaryota; Viridiplantae; Streptophyta; Magnoliopsida; Zingiberales; Zingiberaceae
Exons: 4
Source: RefSeq, a predicted model, not a curated record
CCCUAGGUUAGGGAUUAAUUGCCCUAGGUAUUAAAACCUAGGUAUAAAAGCCUAGCUCAACCAUUUCCCCCGCACCCAGCUACUGUGCCAAAAAAAAAUUGCCGCCUCACCUCUUCAAUCACUCACUGGACUCGAUCGAACGGGUCACCAAGUUCAGAAACCUGUUCUAGCAUUUCCCCAUCUCGGCGACUUCAUGGGAGCAUCGUGGGCGAGGAGUCCAGCGAAGACCACCGGCGGCUACGGCUAGGGGAAGGGUUUCUUCAAGAGAGAUGCAGAAGGGAAGACAAGUAUAUCUAAUUGUGUUGACACGGGAUCCCUAAGGUAUAGGGAUGAGCUCCGGUGGUUUGUAAGGAUCGUGACGCAAAUUAUACGGUGAGGAUGUGUCUCCGGAUACGACGGAUGACCUACGGACGGAAUAGACGAGGAGGCAGGAUGGACGCAUGGUACUGUCCGUUGUUCGGGAGUGCAAGAGAUUUUCGUUUCUUUAUCAUUCGAGUGAGGAAUGUUGAGGAGUAAUUGUUUUUAUCGAUAAACAUUUGUUGAUACAGUCAUGUCUAUUGGUUAUGUUAGUUUCUUGAUAGUACUACCAUAUGAUCAUUCCAUUAGUAGUCGAUGAGAGAGAUUUUUUAAAAAAAAUAUGGGGAUGUUUCACUCGAGGUCCUCCCGGUGCGCCAAGACUCGCAGCGACAAGCUAACAGAGGCGCCGUGGAUGCUAGGGUUUUCCCUGCUGCGCCCUCAAAUAUUUGUGUUGAAGGUCUCCCUCACCACGCUGUGCUAAGUUUGCGAGGUUGGUGUGGUGGAACUUGAAGUUGCAGUUGAGAGAAUAGCAGUCACUUUUGAUUUUUUUUGGCGUCCCUUUUGGAACUUUUUCAUAGUGGUGUGUUUGAAGUUAAUUGCUCGAAGGAUGUAAAAGUUCAGGGUAUCAUAGGUCCUGUGCUUCUCUUGAAAAAGUGGGCUGAUUGUAAUGCUACCUUUAUAUCAUUGCUUAGUUAUUAA